AAAUGGCAUUUUUCUAGGUACUUGACAAUUUCUGCCAUGCAUACGAUUUCUAAUUUGCUCUAAUCAACAGAAUAUUUGCAUGUGUGUGGAUUGUAUGUCUAGUUUUGUCUCUAUCUGUGACUACUUUGCUCCUGCGUUUUAGGUAAAGCAUAGAUAAGAGGACACAGGACCUCUUGUUUGGUGAAACCCAUGUCAUUUUCUUCUUAGCAUCGCUAAAAAAAAAAUGAGGCAUCAGAGAGAAUGUGGUAUCUGCAUUUAAACAUUGGAUUUUUUUUUGUAUAGCCAUGUUGUUGUUGCUAAUGCUGUAAUUGCUUCUG
Molecule: long non-coding RNA, 317 nt
Filed under: Nicotiana benthamiana
Lineage: Eukaryota; Viridiplantae; Streptophyta; Magnoliopsida; Solanales; Solanaceae
Description: long non-coding RNA (NBEN_LNC031117)
Source: RNAcentral